AUUGAACGCUGGCGGCAGGCCUAACACAUGCAAGUCGAGCGGAUGAAGGGAGCUUGCUCCUGGAUUCAGCGGCGGACGGGUGAGUAAUGCCUAGGAAUCUGCCUGGUAGUGGGGGAUAACGUCCGGAAACGGGCGCUAAUACCGCAUACGUCCUGAGGGAGAAAGUGGGGGAUCUUCGGACCUCACGCUAUCAGAUGAGCCUAGGUCGGAUUAGCUAGUUGGUGGGGUAAAGGCCUACCAAGGCGACGAUCCGUAACUGGUCUGAGAGGAUGAUCAGUCACAUUGGAGCUGAGACGCGGUCCAGACUCCUACGGGAGGCAGCAGUGGGGAAUAUUGGACAAUGGGCGAAAGCCUGAUACAGCCAUGCCGCGUGUGUGAAGAAGGUCUUCGGAUUGUAAAGACCUUUAAGUUGGGAGGAAGGGCAGUAAGUUAAUACCUUGCUGUUUUGACGUUACCAACAGAAUAAGCACCGGCUAACUUCGUG
This 484-nucleotide ribosomal RNA is filed under the name uncultured bacterium. Its description in RNAcentral is "partial 16S ribosomal RNA". It matches the Rfam family "Bacterial small subunit ribosomal RNA", at positions 30 to 507 of the family's 1533-position model. The record is from RNAcentral.